AUACGUAGGGGGCGAGCGUUGUCCGGAAUGAUUGGGCGUAAAGGGCGCGUAGGCGGCGCGGUAAGUCUGGAGUGAAAGUCCUGCUUUCAAGGUGGGAAUUGCUUUGGAUACUGCCGCGCUUGAGUGCAGGAGAGGUUAUCGGAAUUCCCGGUGUAGCGGUGAAAUGCGUAGAGAUCGGGAGGAACACCAGUGGCGAAGGCGGGUUACGGGACUGCAACUGACGCUGAGGCGCGAAAGUGUGGAGAGAAAACAGGAUUAGAUACCCUGGUAGUCCACACUGUAAAGGAUGAAUGCUAGGUGUAAGAGGUAUCGACCCCUUUUGUGCUGGAGUCCACACAAUAAGCAUUCAGGCUGGGGAGUACGGCCGCAAGGUUGCAACUCAAAGUAAUUGACGGGG
This 397-nucleotide ribosomal RNA is filed under the name uncultured bacterium. RNAcentral's name for it is "partial 16S ribosomal RNA". It matches the Rfam family "Bacterial small subunit ribosomal RNA", at positions 523 to 918 of the family's 1533-position model. The record is from RNAcentral.